GACGAACGCUGGCGGCGUGCCUAAUACAUGCAAGUCGAACGCUGAAGGAGGAGCUUGCUUCUCUGGAUGAGUUGCGAACGGGUGAGUAACGCGUAGGUAACCUGCCUGGUAGCGGGGGAUAACUAUUGGAAACGAUAGCUAAUACCGCAUAAUAGCAGUUGUUGCAUGACAACUGUUUGAAAGGUGCAAUUGCACCACUACCAGAUGGACCUGCGUUGUAUUAGCUAGUUGGUGGGGUAACGGCUCACCAAGGCGACGAUACAUAGCCGACCUGAGAGGGUGAUCGGCCACACUGGGACUGAGACACGGCCCAGACUCCUACGGGAGGCAGCAGUAGGGAAUCUUCGGCAAUGGACGGAAGUCUGACCGAGCAACGCCGCGUGAGUGAAGAAGGUUUUCGGAUCGUAAAGCUCUGUUGUAAGAGAAGAAAGAGUGUGAGAGUGGAAAGUUCACACUGUGACGGUAUCUUAACAGAAAGGGACGGCUAACUACGUG
RNAcentral lists this ribosomal RNA (495 nucleotides) under uncultured bacterium. Its description in RNAcentral is "partial 16S ribosomal RNA". It matches the Rfam family "Bacterial small subunit ribosomal RNA", at positions 28 to 507 of the family's 1533-position model. The record is from RNAcentral.